GUGCUCACUUCGGCAGCACAUUUACUAAAAUUGGAACAAUACAGGGAAGAUUAGCAUCUUAAUCAAGGAUGACAUGCAAAUUCAUGAAGCAUUCCAUAUUUUU
Molecule: small nuclear RNA, 103 nt
Organism: Mirounga angustirostris (Northern elephant seal)
Lineage: Eukaryota; Metazoa; Chordata; Mammalia; Carnivora; Phocidae
Source: RefSeq, a predicted model, not a curated record